RNAcentral lists this ribosomal RNA (378 nucleotides) under Triticum aestivum (bread wheat). RNAcentral's name for it is "partial small subunit ribosomal RNA". Lineage: Eukaryota; Viridiplantae; Streptophyta; Magnoliopsida; Poales; Poaceae. The record is from RNAcentral.
AUGGUUUUGUGGCGUGGGUUGUUGCAUAUAACAUCUUCUAUAUCGUUUGCUGGUAGAAAGGAUGUUAUUGUCCUGAGAUAUUAUCUUCUGGGAUUAUGGUGUACAGCUCCUGCUCUGUUGCAAUCUGAAAUUCCCAGCAGGUUUCAUGUGUUUAUAGGGUUUCUUAGCCCCAAUAGGCAGUGUGAUAGGCACGACCUUGUUGGUGAUAUAUCUCAAUUGUUCUUUGAAUGCCCUUUGGCCAAGCUGUGGUGGCCUAAACUUUCUAAAUUAGUUGAAAUUAGUGUGGGCAUAUUGCUAAACGUCGGUUCAGUAGUAACAAGAAUAGAUACGGUUGUUGCCUUUUGGUUGUUGGUUUCAGUUUCUGCUCUAGCAGAGUAG